This 503-nucleotide ribosomal RNA is filed under the name uncultured bacterium. RNAcentral describes it as "partial 16S ribosomal RNA". It matches the Rfam family "Bacterial small subunit ribosomal RNA", at positions 30 to 523 of the family's 1533-position model. The record is from RNAcentral.
AUUGAACGCUGGCGGCAGGCUUAACACAUGCAAGUCGAGCGGGGUGAUGGUGCUUGCACUAUCACUUAGCGGCGGACGGGUGAGUAAUGCUUAGGAAUCUGCCUAUUAGUGGGGGACAACAUCUCGAAAGGGAUGCUAAUACCGCAUACGUCCUACGGGAGAAAGCAGGGGAUCACUUGUGACCUUGCGCUAAUAGAUGAGCCUAAGUCGGAUUAGCUAGUUGGUGGGGUAAAGGCCUACCAAGGCGACGAUCUGUAGCGGGUCUGAGAGGAUGAUCCGCCACACUGGGACUGAGACACGGCCCAGACUCCUACGGGAGGCAGCAGUGGGGAAUAUUGGACAAUGGGGGGAACCCUGAUCCAGCCACGCCGCGUGUGUGAAGAAGGCCUUAUGGUUGUAAAGCACUUUAAGCGAGGAGGAGGCUCUUUUGGUUAAUACCCAAGAUGAGUGGACGUUACACGCAGAAUAAGCACCGGCUAACUCUGUGCCAGCCGCCGCGGUAA